UGGCAUUUAUGACCUUGGUAUGACCUUCAU
This 30-nucleotide non-coding RNA is filed under the name Rattus norvegicus (Norway rat). The record is from RNAcentral. Lineage: Eukaryota; Metazoa; Chordata; Mammalia; Rodentia; Muridae.